This is a long non-coding RNA of Corylus avellana, 417 nucleotides long. RefSeq lists it as uncharacterized. The record is from RefSeq and is a predicted model, not a curated record. Lineage: Eukaryota; Viridiplantae; Streptophyta; Magnoliopsida; Fagales; Betulaceae.
AGCUUGACAACAGUACCUGCACUUGUUGAGCAAUGGAAUUGUGGAGAAGACUCAUGAACUGAGGAUGAAAGAUUUCGAGAAAAAAUCAGUGCCUUUGAGCUGAAGGGAGUCCAACUGAUGGGGGGAUAACCAGAGACUAAAACAGCUCAGCUGUUCCCCCGGAUCCCUAAGAUCAACACAUCGACGGCACUUUUCUCAAGUUGGGAAUUUUGCUUGUCUGGUAUUCUGGUUAUAAUAUGUAGUUAAUGUAUUAAUCAUUCAACCCUAAUUAUAAAUUUUAAUAUUACUUAGCAUAUAGUUUUACUUUCGAUGCAACAACUUGACCAAACAGAUGGAUAUAUGUCCUUGCAUUUAACUAAAUGGGUGAUUAGAAGCUAAGCAACUCUUGCAUGUUUCCUUUUUGCAAUUGUUUUCUGG